Molecule: transfer RNA, 94 nt
Filed under: Bacillus phage vB_BanS_Chewbecca
Lineage: Duplodnaviria; Heunggongvirae; Uroviricota; Caudoviricetes
Description: tRNA-Ser
Rfam family: tRNA
About the family: Transfer RNA (tRNA) molecules are approximately 80 nucleotides in length. Their secondary structure includes four short double-helical elements and three loops (D, anti-codon, and T loops). Further hydrogen bonds mediate the characteristic L-shaped molecular structure. tRNAs have two regions of fundamental functional importance: the anti-codon, which is responsible for specific mRNA codon recognition, and the 3' end, to which the tRNAs corresponding amino acid is attached (by aminoacyl-tRNA synthetases). tRNAs cope with the degeneracy of the genetic code in two manners: having more than one tRNA (with a specific anti-codon) for a particular amino acid; and 'wobble' base-pairing, i.e. permitting non-standard base-pairing at the 3rd anti-codon position.
Source: RNAcentral
UGGAAAGUUGUCAGAGUCAGGUUUAUCGUACUCCCCUGCUAAGGGAGUGUGGGUUGAUUCCCACCACAGGUUCAAAUCCUGUACUUUCCGCCAU